RNAcentral lists this ribosomal RNA (254 nucleotides) under uncultured bacterium. RNAcentral's name for it is "partial 16S ribosomal RNA". It matches the Rfam family "Bacterial small subunit ribosomal RNA", at positions 524 to 776 of the family's 1533-position model. The record is from RNAcentral.
UACGUAGGGUGCAAGCGUUGUCCGGAAUUAUUGGGCGUAAAGAGCUCGUAGGCGGUCUGUCGCGUCGGCUGUGAGAACUCGGGGCUCAACUCCGAGCUUGCAGUCGAUACGGGCAGGCUAGAGUUCGGCAGGGGAGACUGGAAUUCCUGGUGUAGCGGUGAAAUGCGCAGAUAUCAGGAGGAACACCGGUGGCGAAGGCGGGUCUCUGGGCCGGAUACUGACGCUGAGGAGCGAAAGCGUGGAGAGCGAACAGG